RNAcentral lists this long non-coding RNA (15476 nucleotides) under Homo sapiens (human). Its description in RNAcentral is "PREDICTED lncRNA (TCONS_00229678)". The record is from RNAcentral. Lineage: Eukaryota; Metazoa; Chordata; Mammalia; Primates; Hominidae.
AGGAAGGAAAUUUGGUAGAUCUAUGUGCUGAGAGAUAAGUGGCCAUGUAAUGAGGUAGGUUAACAACAAUUGUUCCUGUAUAUAUUGUUGGCACACACAAAUGUGUUUGAUUUGGAGUAGGAACUGAUAACUUCUUUGGAUUUGAAUUUCUUCUGUCAGCAAUAGGAGAGAAGUUCAGUCAGAUGAUUUCUAUCUGUGGGAAUCCAACUUUGACUUGUGGUGAUCCUACCCCUUCCUCAGUCUUUUACAAAUUAAGUGGCCUCCUCACCUGAGACGAGUAGAACUGUAUGCACAGUAAGGCACCAGGACGGAUCUAGACUGGCAAAGAAGUGGUGAGAGAAAUGGGGAAAGGGUUAGGGAAGAAGGGAGAGGACUCUCAACUACAGUCAUAGUGAGACCUUGAGUGCCUCUGCGUUAGUCCUUCCUCUUCCUCUACUCCUUGUGUCUCAGCUGAAGGGCAAACUUCAGGGACAAUCUCAUUUUGUUUCUACCACUGUUCAGGGUCCCACCUUGCGACCCUCUCCUGAGAGGUUGUCCACAACUCUGUCCCACCCCCGUUCUCCAUCUUCUUCCGCCAGAUCUGGGGCUGGGGCAUUGGAGAGGGGAAAGAGGAAACGUCGUGGCUGGCAGGGUAGGAAGGGAUGCGUGUCCAGGUGAGAAAGAGGUGUGACGUGCAGAUGGGAUGCCCGCCGCUAUGACGCUGCCGAGACCCGCGGUGACUGCGUCAGAGUUUCACCCGGGGAGGUGAGCAGCAGCGGGACGGGGGAACGGCGGGGUAGCCAAGCAACGCCGGACGCGCUGACGUCGCCGGGGCGGCAAAACGUCCGCCCGGGCCCGAGGCGGGCGGAGGCAGCUGUGGUUACGUGCGGGGGGCCGGUGACGCAGUCGCGGGGCGCUGGGACGCGGCUUGCGGAGCCGGCCGGCGAGCGCAGGCCCCAGGCUCGGGCGCGGCGGCGGGACAGCACCUACCUUCCCGGCUUCGGGUCCGGGAGUGCGGGGCGCGGAGCCGCCGGAGCGCUGCCUCCCUCCUUCCUCCUCCCCUCGCCCCCGCCCCGCGGCGCGACACACAAUACUCGCCGGAAGCGGAAGCCGCGCCGAGGCUCGUGUCAGUGGAAGCUGGGGUGUCGGCGGGCGGCCGCGGCCGGGUCUAGCGGUGCCUGCGGAAGAAGGAGGAGGAGGGCUGGCGAUGAGAAGCAGCAGGGGGAAUCAAGGGCAAGAAGGGACCCAGAGGGGCAGGUGGCUGAGAUGCUGGCGUCCAGGUGACCCGAGGAAUCCUCUGGAGAUACAGGCCCGCGCAUGCGCGUGCUCGAGCGCUGAAGCCCAUUGCCCGCAGGGCGCUGGACUGGCGCCCCGGCCGGCGAGGCUGUCUAGUCCAGGCUCCAGGCCCCGGCUCUGGCCAGGCGCCGCCGCCUCCCGGUGCAGCUGAAAGUCGACGAAGAGGGCGGGGCGGGGGCGGCUUGUGGACUUCCACACUUUUCCUCUCUUCGGGCCAGUCUGGGGAGAGGGUGGCUAGCUGUGGCGGCGGCCAAUUACGUGGCGGACCUGCGGGGCUAAGCUGGCACGUCACUUCCGACUAGUGGAGUUUUUAGCCUUUUAACAUUCAAGGAUUAGGUAAAAGUCUUGCAGUGAAAAACCCGAGGACCCUUACCGCAAGUGUCUUUUGCUCCCAGCUACUGAUACUGGAUUCCACUCGUGAUUCUCCCUUUCUUAGCGCAUUCAUGAUAUAGACAUCAGUCUCUGAGCUGGAGGAGGACAAAGGCAGCGGUCCUGUGAAUUCUAUGCUCUAGCUUGGGUUAAGGGAUUUGGAAUUGCACUUGUUUCAGAGAGCUCCCUCUUUGCCCACUAGCAGGGCAUUAGCUGGUGCUGAAGACAGUGGCUGCUUGGCGAGCCUGGAUCUCCAAGUGACCCCCUCAGCAACUCCUGAUGAACAGGACUGAAGCCAAUAUUAAAGCAAGUCAACCAAAGGUUCUCUGGUGUAGACAAGACAGCAAAAGGACAGACUACCUUGUGGAACCUAGCAUUGUUCUCCUUCUGCAGCACUAAGUAACAUUUGUUCUCCGUUAAGAUCUUUGCAAACCACACACAAGAAUUGCUGGUCAUCCUGCCAAUAGAUGCUGCUCACAGAACCAAAUUUCCUGUGCUGAAUUGUCACUCAUGGGCUUGAGAGUAGGAGACUGGAGACCAAGGUGGCUAGAAUCCAGUUGGGCCUGAUGUCUCCCUGUUGAAAGGGCUCCUUGUGGAAUGAAUAGCACAUGGCUCCUGUGGUGGAUCUGAUAGUGGCAUAGCACCAAGUGAUGCAGGCCUGCCAGGGGCCACAGACACAGAAGAUGCUCCCGGGGUCCCCCAUGUACUCCAGACACACUGCAGGCCACCUCUCCCAGCAGGUUGCCAGUCAUGGGCCCCAUCAUCAUGACUUCUGUCCAAGGUACUGUGUGCAGAAAUGUGAUUGAGAUUCAAGUCAGGGCCUCUCUGCCCUUUUCCCUCCAGAAACAAAACCAAGAUAAUUUAUCCUGAACACGGUGAAAAAAGGAAGGGAGGGAGGAGAAAAAGUCCGGGUCUCACCUGGGAUUCUCUGUCUCCUGCAACAUGAAGGAUUUAGCCUGGGAGGAGGUGGUGAGAACUCUGGGAGAGAAAAAAGAAGGAAAGAAUAGUUUUACCCAUGCUGAAGUUAAUUUAAACCUUCACCUAGAGAAGCAAAAAAAAAAAACCCACACUUUCCCAUUUUGUGCCUCCCUUCCUAGAGUUUUAGCCAAAGGUUUAGCUAAGUAAUUGGUUUUACCAGCGCACUCACUCCUCCUAUCCCAAGUCUGUUUGACUCCCUCCCCAUCAUCCUCCUCACCUCUUUUCAGGCAGGGUGGGGAUAGCAGCAGGAGGAGAUUUUGGGAGCCUGGCAACUCCUGCAAGGACCGCAGGACAGCCCCUCUGUGGGGAUGCGUGGUGCCCCAUCUGCCGCCCUUCUGAAGAAUGCACUGCCUUCACUUUUUACUGUGUUAGAGUCCAUCCAGACUGUUCUAUCCAAAAAAGUUUCUUUUUCCCCCACAGGCAAUCAGGAAAUGAUUCCUUUCCCGACUGCUUCUGUCUAGUGCCUGGGAAUCUUGAGUCAAUCCCUCAGUAAGUCAGUGACUAGGGAAAUCCCUCUCUGAGCCUCCCAGUUCAUGUUGCUUAGGGAACCUGAUAUUUUCGUGAAACCUGCCUACACAUGGGCAGCCCAACAGCAGAACAAAUGGUGGUGACCAAAGUGAACAAAGAAGUAUAGUUGUGCCAGCUUCGUAGUUGCCCAUGUGGACAAGUCAGCAGGAUCAGGACACGAGGAAGAGUAAAUGUGAGACAGUCAAUGUGACUUCUGCGAUAAACAGAUUUUUAAACCCCGAAAUUUUGCAAAAUUUUGGUGAAACCUGAACUUUCUUCGUUGCAUAUACUGGCACUAUCUGUACCAUCAUACAACUGUCUCACAUUAAAGCUAUUUUUCUUGGGCACUGAUGAGUAAGGGACUUGCACUUAGGAAUCUGUUACAGUGAGCACAGAAGCAGACCUGUGGGCUCAUAGUCUUCACCCCCCACCCAUAUAUACAAGAUGAACAGAGUGGAGGUUAAACAACUUGACUAAACAACACAGUUCAUGGUAAAGCCCAAGACUGUACCUGCCCAUCCACUGCCUUUUCCAUGUAUCCUGGAACUGAGCAUAGACCUCUUCCCAGGCAGAGCUGACAGCAAGUAAAGGAGAUCAUAAUCAGGGGACCAAACAACUUUGUCUAAAGUGUGAAUGUCACCUAAGGAGAAGCUGUGAGAUCAGAAGGGUGGGGCAGAGGAGCAGACACCAUGAGGGAGAGUCCUUGGGGGUACAUCUGCCAGACUGACACUGUCUGGCCUGGGCAGUGGAGGGGCUAGCAGGAACCACAGGUACUGGUGGUGUGGCUACUACCGUUACAACUGCCUGUGCUUGGACAUGGACCCUCUGCAAUAUGCGGCAGUUUCAUUCAUUGCCCCCUACAUUCUACACCAAGUAGAAAUGGAAGGCAAUUGGAUACUUCACAGACAAGAUCUAAGUGGAGAAGGAAUGCGUCCUGUGGCUGCAGAGAUCCUUGGAGCUUGGAGGGGAGAGCUUGAGCCCCACUGAUGAUGACCUCCCACAGCUCGCCAACUCAGCCCUCCCUAAGUCCCCAUCGGGGGCCAAUUCUCACUCUGGGGUUGGGGGGACUCCACCAUAGCUCAUCCAUCAUAGGGAUGUUGGUAUCUACUGUGGGUUGGGUAGGGCCGAUGUGCUGAGGAUGGCUCCCCCACAAGCAAGAGAUGUGGAUUUGGGGAGCUUCCCAUCUUGUGUUGAAGGAACAUAACUCAGAAUAAUAAGAGCCAACUAUAACAAACCCACAGCCAACAUCAUACUGAAUGGGCAAAAGCUGCAGGCAUUCCCCUUGAAAAGUGGCACAGGAUAAGGAAGCCCUUUCUCACCACUCCUAUUCAAUAUAGUGUUGAAAGUCCUGAUCACAGCAGUCAGGCAACAGAAAUAAUAAAGGGCAUCCAAAUAGGAAGAGAGGAAGUCAAACUAUCCUUGUUUGCAGACAGUAUGAUUCUAUAUCUAGAAAACCCCAUAGCCUCAGCCCAAAAGGUCCUUCAUCUGAUAAUUUCAGCAAAGUUUCAGGAGACAAAAUCAGUGUACAAAAAUCACUAACAUUCCUAUACACAGUCGCCAAGCCAAGAGCCAAAUCAGGAGCACAAUCCCAUUCAUAAUUGCCACAAAAAAGAAUAAAAUACCCAGGAAUGCAGCUAACCAAGGAAGUAAAGGAUCUCUACAAUGAGAAUCACAAACGCUGCUCAAAGAAAUCAGAGAUGACACAAACAAAUGGAAAAACUUUCCAUGCUCAUGGCUAGGAAGAAUCAAUAUCAUUAAAGUGGCCAUACUACCCAAAGCAAUUUAUAGAUUCAAUGCUAUUCCUAUCAAACUAUCAAUUACAUUUUUCACAGAACUAGAAAAAACUUAAAAUUCAUAUGGAACCAAAAAGCCUGAGUAGUCAAGGCAAUCCUAAACAAAAAGAACAAAGGUGGAGGCAUCACAUUACCUAACUUCAAACUACAGGGCUACCAUGACCAAAACAGCAUGGUACUGGUACAAAAGCAGACACACAGACCAGUGGGACAGAAUAGAGAGCCCAAAAAUAAGGCCACAAACCUACAGCCAUCUGAUCUUCAACAAAGUUGACAAAAACAAGCAAUGGGGAAAGGUCUCCCUAUUCAAUAAAUGGUGCUGGGAUAACUGGCUGGCCAUAUGCAGAAGAUCGUAACUGGACCCCUUUUACUAUGUACAAAAAUUAAGAUGGUUUAAAGAGUUAAAACCCAAAAUUAUAAAAAUCCUGAAGAUAACUUAGGCAAUACCAUUCUGGACAUAGGAACUGGCAAAUAUUUCAUGAUGAAGACACCAAAAGCAAUUGUAACAAAAGCAAAAAUGGACAAAUUGGAUUUAAGAGCUUUUUCAUAGCAAAAUAAACAACAGGGCAGACAAUCUACCAAAUGACAGAAAAUUUUUGCAAACUAUGCAUCUGACAAGGGGCUAAUAUCUAGCAUCUAUAAGGAAUUUAAACACAGUUACAGGAAAAAAAAAACCCACUCCAUUAAAAAAUGGGCAAAGGACAUGAACAGACACUUUUCAAAAAAGACAUACAUACAGCCAACUAGCGUGUUAAAGAAAACCUCAAUUAUCACUGAUCAUUAGAGAAAUGCAAAAUCAAAACCAUGAUGAGAUAUCAUCUGCCAGUCAGGAUGGCUACAAAAAAGUAAAAAAAUAAUAGAUGUUGGUGAGGUUAUGGAGAAAAGGAACUUAUACACUUGUUAGGAGUGUAAAUUAGUUCAAUCACUGUGGACAGCAGUGUGGUGAUUCCUCAGAGAGCUAAAAACAACUACCAUUUGACUCACCAAUCCCAUUACUGGAUAUUUACCUAAAGGAAUAUAAAUCAUUCCACCAUAAAGACACAUGCAAGUGUAUGUUCAUUGCAGCACUAUUAACAGUAACAAAGCUGGGCACAGUGGCUCACCUCACGACUGUAAUCCCAGCACUUUGGGAGGCUGAGGUAGGCGGAUCACCUGAGGUCGGCAGUUUGAGACCAGCCUGACCAACAUGGAGAGACCCCAUCUCUACUAAAAAUACAAAAUUAGCCAGGUGUGGUGGCUCAUGCCUGUAAUCCCAGCUACUUGGGAGGCCAAGGCAGGAGAAUUGCUUGAACCCAGGAGGCAGAGGUUGCAGUGAGCCGAGAUCACACCAUUGCACUCUAGCCUGGUGAAGGAGCAAGACUCCAUCUCAAAAAAAAAAAAAAAAAAGAAAGAAAGAAAAAUACACAUUCAGAGGAGACAAAAAAUAAAAAACAAUGAUGCAUGCCCACAGGAUCUAGAAAAUAACUUCUUAAGGGCAAAUCUAGGAGUUAUUGGCCUUAAAGAAGAGAUAGAGAAAGAGAUAGGAAUAGAAAGUUUGUUGAAAGGGAUAAUAACAUAGAACUUCCUAAACCUACAGAAAGAUAUUUAUAUCCAAGUACAAGAAGGUUAUAGAACACCAGGCCAAUUUAACCCAAAGAUUACCUCAAGGCAUUUAAUAAUCAAACUCCCACAGGACAAGGGUAAAGAAAGGAUCCUAAAAGCAGCAAGAGAAAAGAAACAGAUAACAUACAAUGGAGCUCCAAUACAUCUGGCAGUAUAUUUUUCAGUGGAAACCUUACAAGCCAGGAGAGAGUGACAUGACAUAUGUUAAAGUGCUGAAGGGAAAAAACCUUUUACCCUAGAAUAGUAUAUCCAGCAAAAAUAUCCUUCAAACAUGAAGAAUAAACAAAGACUUCCCCAGACAAACAAAAGCUGAGGGAUUUCAUCAACACUAGACUGGUCCCAUAAGAAACGCUUAAGGGAGUACUUUGGUCAGAAAGAAACAGACAUUAAUGAGCAACAAAGAAUCAUCUAAAGGUAAAAAACUCACUGUUAAGAGUAAGUACACAGAAAAACCCAAAGUGUGAUAACAUUGUAACUGUGGUGUGUAAGUAGAAAGAAUAAAUGAUAAACCAAUCAAAAAUAGUAACUACAACUUUUCAAGACCAGUCAGAAAAAUAAGAUAAAAUUAGAAACAACAAAAAGUUAAAAAGUGGGGGGAUGAAGUUAAGAUGUAGAGUUUUUAUUAGUUUUUUGUUUGUUAAUGCAAACAGUGUUACCAGGUUAAAAUAAUGGGUUACAAAAUAGUAUUUGUAAUCCUUAUGGUAACCUCAAACCUAAAAACAUACACUGGAUACAUAAAAAAUAAAAAGCAAAAACCUAAAUCAUAUCACCAGAGCAAACUACCUUCCCUAAAGGAAGACAGGAAGAAAAGAAAGAAGAAGACCACAAAACAACCAGAAAACAAAUAAAUAACAAGGCAGGAGUAAGUCUUUACUUAUCGAUAAUACAUUGAAUGGAAAUAUGGACUAAACUCUCCAAUCAAAAGACAUAGACUGGCUGAAUGAAUGGAGAAAACAAGACCCAUUGAUCUGUUGCCUACAAGAAACACACUUAAACUAUAAAGACACACAUAGGCUGAAAGUAAAGAGUUGGAAAGAGUUAUUCCAUGCCAAUGGAAACCAGGAAAAAGAGAAGGAGUAUUGAUUUUGAUACAAAAACUAUGAGACAAAUAAAGUCACUAUACAAUGAUAAAGGGGUUAAUAUGGUUUCCAUUUGUGCCCCACCCAAAUUUCGUGUUCUAUUGUAAUCCUCAAUGUUGGAGGUGGGGCCUGGUGGGACGUGAUUAGAUCAUGGGGGUGGAUCUUUCAUGACUAAUUCAGCACCAUCUUCUUAGUGCUGUUCUCAUGAUAGUGAGUUCUUCUGAAAUCUGGUUGCUUAAAAGUGUGUAGCACCUCUCCACACCACCCGCUUGCCUUGGUCUACUCCUGCUAUGUAGAUGCUUGCUCCCACUUUGCAUUAUUCCAUGAGUAAAAGCUCCCUCAGGCCUUCCCAGAAUCAGAUGCCGCUAUGCUUCCUGAACAGCCUGUGGAACUAUGAGCCAAUUCAACCUCUUUUCUUCAUAAAUUAACAAGUCUUGGGUAUUUCUUUAUAGCAGUGUGAGAACAGAAUAAUACAGAAAAUUGGUAAAGAGGAGUGAGGCAUUGCUAGAAAGAUACCUGAAAAUGUGGAAACAGCAGUGGAACUGGGAAAUAGACAGAGGUUGGAAGAGUGUGGAGGGCUCCGAAGAUAGGAAGAUGAGGGGAAGUUUGGAAUUUCUUAGAGAUUUGUUAAAUUGUUUUGACCAAAAUACUGAUGGUGAUAUGGACAAUGAAGUCCAGGCUGAGGAGGUCUCAGAUGGAGAUGAGGGACUUAUUGGGACCUGGAGUGAAGGUCACUUUUGUUAGGACAUUGUGGUUGGAGACAUUGUGCCCCUGCCCUAGGAAUCUGUGGAACUUUGAACUUGAGAGCGAAGAUUUAGGGUAUCUGGCAGAAGAAAUUUCUAAGCAGCAAAGCGUUCAAGACGUGGCCUGGCUGCUUCUGGUAGUCUGUGCUCAUAUUUGUGAGCAAAGACAUGACAAGAAACUGGAACUUAUAUUUAAAAAGGAAGCAGAGUGUAAAAGUUUGGAGAAUUUGCAGCCUGGCCAUGUUGUAGAAAAGAAAAAAACCAUUUUCUGGAGAGGAAUUCAAGCUAGCUGCAGAAAAUUGCAAGUAACAAGGAGCAAAAUGUUGAUAGCCAAGAUAGUGGGAAAAACACCUUGAAGGCAUUUCAGAUACCUUGGGGGCAGCCUCUCCCAUCACAGGCCCAAAGGCCUAGGAGGGAAGGAUGGUUUCCUGGGCCAGGCUCAGGGUCCUGCUGCCCUGCACAACCUCAGGAAACUGCUCUCCAAAUCCCAGCUGCUCCAGCUCCAGCUUCAGCUCAAAGGGCCCCAGGUAUAGCUCAGGCUGCUGCUCCAUAGGAUGCAAGUUAUAAGCCUUAGUGGCUCCCGUGUGGUGUUAAAUUAAGCCUGUAGGUGCACAGAGUGCAAGAAUUGAGGCUUGGGAGCCUCCAACUAGAUUUCAGAGUAUGUGUGGGAAAGCCUGGAUGUCCAGGCAGAAGCCAGCUGCAGGGACAGAGCCCUCAUGGAGAACCUCUACUAGGGUAGUGUGGAGGGGAAAUUUGGGGUUGGAGUUCCCACACAGCUUCCCCUCUGGUGUACUGCCUAGUGGAGCUGUGAGAAGACAGCCACUGUCCUCCAGAUUCCAGGAUGAUAGAUCUGCCAAUGACAGCUUGCACUGUACAACUGGAAAAGCCACAGGCAGUCAAUGCCAGCCCGUGAAAGCAGUGACAGUGGCUUACCCUGCAAAGUCCCAGGGGCUGAGCUGCCCAAGGCCUUGGGAGCCCACCCCUUGCACCAGUGUGCCCUGGAUGUGAGAUAUGGAGUCAAAGGAGAGUAUUUUGGAGCUUUAAGAUUUAAUGACUACCUGCUGGGUUUCAGACUUGCAUGGGUCCAGUAGCCCCUUUCUUUUGGCCAAUUUCUCACUUUUGGAAUGGGAGUGUUUACCCAAUUCCUGUACCCCCACUGUAUGUUGGAAGUAACUAACUGUUUUUUUAUUUUGUAAGCUCACAGGUGGGAGAGACUUGCCUUGUCUCAGGUUGAGACUCUGGACUUUGGACUUUUGAAUUAAUGCUGGAAUGAGUUAAGACUUUGAGGGACUGUUGGGAAGAUAUAACUGUAUUUUGCAGUAUGAGAAGGACAUGAGAUUUGGGAGACACCAGAGGUGGAAUAAUAUGAUUUGGAUCUGCAUCCCCACCAAAAUCUCAUGUUCAAUUGUAAUCCUAAAUUUUGGAGGUUGAGCCUGGUGGAAGAGGAUUGGAUAAUGGGGGUGGUUUCUCAUGGUUUAACACCAUCCCCCUGGGUGCUGUUCUCAUGACAGUGAGUGAGUUAUUGUGAGAUCUGAUUGUUUAAAAGUGUGUGCCACCUCCUCCCACUUUCCUCCUGCUCCAGCCAUGUAAGACAGGCUUGCCUCCCCUUCACCUUUUGUCAUGAUUGUAAGUGUUCUGAGGCCUCCCCAGCCAUGCUUCCUGUACAGCCUGCAGAACUGUGAGCCAAUUAAACCUCUUUUCUCUAUAUAUUACCCAGUCUCGGGUAUUUCUUUAUAGCAGUGCAAGAAUAGACUAAUACAGGGUUCAAUUCAGCAAGAGGAUAUAACAAAUAUAAAUAUAUAUGCACUCAACACUGCAGCACCCAGAUAUAUAAAGCAAAUACGAUUAGAGCUAAAGAGAGAGAGUGACCCCAAUACAAUAAUAGCUGGAGACUUCAACACCACAUUUUCAGCACUGGACAGAUCUUCCAGACAGAAAAUAAAAAAGAAACAUCAGACUUAAUCUGCACUGUAGAUCAAAUGGAUCUAAUACAUACUUGCAGAACAUUUUAUCCAAUGGCUGCAGAAUACACAUUCUUUUUUAGCACAUGUAUCAUUCUCAAGGAUAGACCAUAUGUUAGGUCACAAGUCUUAAAACAUUAAAAAAGUUGAAUACCAUCAAGCAUCUUCUCUGACCACAGUGGAAUACAACUAGAAACUAAUAACAAGAGGAAUUUUUGAAACUACAAAUACAUGAAAAUUAAACAAUAUGCUCCUGAAUGACCAUUGAGUCAAUGAAGAAAUUAAGAAGGAAAUUGAACAAUUUCUUGAAACAAAUGAUAAAGGAAACACAACAUACCAAAACCUAUGGGAUACGGCAAAAGCAGUACUAAGAGGCAAAUUGAUAGCUAUAAGUGCCUACAUGAAAAAAGAGGAAAAACUUCAAAUAAGCAAUUUAACAAUGAACCUUAACCAGAAAAGCAAGAGCAAAACAAACACAAAAUUAGAAGAAAACAAAUAAUAAAAAUUAGAGCAUAAAUAAAUAAAAUUGAAAUAAAAAUCAAUGCAAAAGAACAAUGAAACAAAAAGUUGCUUUUUUUCAAAAGUUAAACAAAACUGACAAGCCUUUAGCAAGACUGAGAAAAAAGAGACAAGAUACAAAUCAGAAAUGAAAAAGACAUUACAACUGACACUGCAGAAAUUCAAAGGAUCAUUAGGGGCUACUAUGAGCAACUCUAUGCCAAUAAAUUGGAAAAUCUAGAAGAAAUUGACAAUUCCUAGACACAUACAACCUACUGAGACUGGACCAGGAAGAAAUCCAAAACCUGAACAGACUAAUAACAAGUAACAAGGUUGAAGCCAUAAUAAAAAGUCUCCCACUAAAGAAAACCAAGGACCCGAUGGCUUCACUGUUGAAUUCUACCAAACAUUUAAAGAAGAACUAAUACCAAUCCCACUCAAGCUAUUGAAAAAUAGAGGAGGAGAGAAUAUUUCCAAAGUCAUUCUAGGAGACCAGUAUCACCCUGAUACCAAAACCAGACAAAGACACAUCAAAAAAAGAAAACUGCUGGCCAAUUUCUCUGAUGAAUAUUGAUGCCAGAAUCCUCAGCAAAAUAUUAGCAAACUAAAUUCAACAAUACAUUAAAAAGAUCAUUCAUCAGGGUCGGGUGCAGUGGCUUAAGCCUCUAAUCCCAGCACUUUGGGAGGCCGAGGUGGGCAGAUCACCUGAGGUCAGGAGUUCAAGACCAGCCUGACCAACAUGGUGAAACCUCGUCUCUACUGAAAAUACAAAAUUAGCCGAGUGUGGUGGUGCAUGCCUGUAAUCCCAGCUACUCAGGAGACUGAGGCAGGAGAAUCACUUGAACCCAGGAGGUGGAGGUUGCAGUGAGCUGAGAUUGUGGCACUGCACUCCAGCCUUGGUGACAGAGUGAGACUCCAUUAAAAAAAAAAUCAUUUAUCAUGACCAAGUGGGAUUUAUCCCUGGAAUGCAAGGAUGGUUCAACACAUGCAAAUCAAUCAAUGUAAUACAUCAUAUCAAAAAGAAUGAUUAAAACCAUAUGAUUAUUUCUAUUGAUGCUGAAAAAGUAGUUUAUAAAAUCCAACAUCCCUUCAUGAUAAAAACCCUCAAAAAACUGUAUAAAAGAAAUAUACCUCAACGUAAUAGCCAGAUAUGACAGACCCACAGCUAGUAUCAUACUGAAUGGGGAAAAAGUGAAAGACUUUCCUAUAAGAUCUGGAACACAACAGGGAUGUUCACUGUCACCACUGUUAUUCAACAAAGUACUGGAUGUUCUAGCUAGAGCGAUCAGACAAGAGAAGAUAUAAAGGCCAUCCAAACUGGAAAGGGAGAAGUUAAAUUACCCUAGUUUGCAGAUGAUAUGAACUUAUAUUUGGAAAAAACCUAAAGGCUCCACAGGAAAACUAUUAGAAUCAAUAAAUUCAGUAAAGUUGCAGGACACAAAAUCAACAUAUAAAAACCAGUAGCAUUUCUAUAUGUCAACAGUGAACAAUUUGAAAAAUUUUAAAUUUAAGAAGGUAAUUUCAUUUACAAUAGCCACACAUAAAAUUAAAUACCUAGGAAUUAACCAAAAAUGUGCAAGAUAUCUAUGAGGAGAAUUAUAAAACAUUGAUGAAAGAAAUUGAAGAGGACACAAAAAAAAUGGAAAAAAUUCCAUCUUUAUGGAUUGGAAGAAUCAAUAUUGUUAAAAUGUCCAUACUACCCAAAGCAAUCUACAGAUUUAAUGCAAUCCCUAUCAAAAUACCAAUAAUAGUCUUCAGAGAAAUAGAAAAAAAAAUCCCAAAAUUUAUAUGAAAACACAGAAUGCCCAGAAUAGCCAAAAUUAUAUUAAGCAAAAAGAUCAAAACUGGAGGAAUCACAUUACCUGACUUCAAAUUAUGCUACAGAGCUAUAAUCACCAAAACAGCAUGGUACUGACAUAAAAACAGACACAUAGUCCAACAGAACAGAAUAGAGAACCUAGAAACAAAUCCACACACUCACAGGGAACUCAUUUUUGACAGAGUUGCCAAGUACUUAUACUGGAGAAAAGAAAAGACAGUCUCUUCAAUGAAAUGGUGCUGGGAAAACUGGAUAUCCAUAUGCAGAAGAAUGAAACUAGACCCCUACCUCUCACUGUAGACAAAAGUCAAAUCAAGGCUAGGCAUGGUGGCUUACACCUGUAAUCUCAGCACUUUGGGAGGCUGAGGCAGGCGUAUCACGAGGUGAAGAGAUUGAGACCAUCCUGACCAACAUGGUGAAACUCACCCCCCCCCACCCACUAAAAAUACAAAAAUUAGCUGGGCGUGAUGGCAUGUGCCUGCAGUCCUAGCUACUCAGGAGGCUGGGGCAGGAGAAUCGCUUGAACCCAGGAGGUGGAGGUUGCAGUGAGCUGAGAUUGUGCCACUGCACUCCAGCCUGGCGACAGAGCAAGACUCCAUCUCAAAAAAUAAAAAAUAAAUUCAAAAUGUAAUAAAGACUUAAAUCUAAGACCUCAAACAUGAAACUACUAUAAGAAAACAUUGGGGAAAACCUCCAGGACAGUAGUCUGGCCAAAAAUUUCUUGAGCAAUACCCCACAAGCACAGGCAACCAAAAUAAAACUGGACAAAUAGUAUCACAUCAAGUUUAAAAGCUUCUACAAAGCAAAGGAUACAAUCAAUAAAGAGACAACCCACAGAAUGGGAGAAAAUAUUUGCAAACUACCCAUCUGACAAAGAAAUAAUAACCAGAGUAUAUAAGAAGCUCAAACAACUCUAUAGUAAAAAAAAAAAAAAAAAAAAUUCUAAAAGUCUAAGUAAAAAAAUGGGCAAAAGAUUUGAAUAGACAUUUCUCAAAAGAAGACAUACAGGCCAUGCGUGGUGGCUCAUGCCUGUAAUCCCAGCACUUUGGGAGGCCCAGGCGGGUGGAUCACUUGAGGUCAGGAGUUCGAGACCAGCCUGACCAACAUUGUGAAACUCCGUCUCUACUAAAAAUACAAAAAUAAGCCAGGCAUGGUGGCGCACACCUGUAAUCCCAGCUACUCAGGAGGCUGAGGCAGGAGAAUCGCUUAAACCUGGGAGACAGAGGUUGCAGUAAGCCGAGAUCACACCACUGCACUCCAGCCUGGGCAACAAAGUGAGACUCCGUCUCACAAAAAAAAAAAAAAAAAAAAAAAAAAAAGAAAAGAAAAAGGAAGAAGACAUACAAAGCCAGGUACAGUGGCUUAUGCCUCUAAUCCUAGCACUUUAGGAGGCCAAGGCAGAUGGAAUUGAGCCCAGAAGUUUGAGACCAGACUGAGCAAUAUGGUCAAACCCCAAUUCUGCAAAAUACAAAAAUAAAAAAUAGCUGGGAGUGGUGGUGCACACCUGUAGUCCCAGCUACUUAGGAAGCUGAGAUGGGAGGAUCACUUGAGCCUGCAGUGAAUCAUAAUUGCACCAAUGCACUCCAGCCUGGGCGACAGAGUGAGAGACAUUGUCUCAAAAAAAAGAAAAAGAAAAAAAAGAAAGGACAUAAAAAUGACAAACAGGCAUAUGAAAAGGUGCUGAUGAUUAUUGAUCCUCAGAGAAAUGCAAAUCAAAACUGCAAUGAGAUAUAAUCUCACCCCAGUUAAAAUGGCUUAUAUCCAAAAGACAGGCAAUAACAAAUGCUGGUGAGGAUGUGGAUAAAAGGGAACCCUCGUACACUGUUGAUGGGAAUGUAAAUUAGUACAACCACUAUGGAUAACAGUUUAGAGGUUCCUCAGAAAACUAAAAAUUGAGUUGCGAUAUGAUGCAACAAUCCUACUGCUGGGUAUAUACCCCACAAAAGACAAAACCAGCGUUUUGCAUGGUGGCUCACACCUGUAAUCCCAGCACUAUGGGAGGCCGAGGAGGGCAGAUCACUUGAGCCCAGAAGUUCAAGACCAGCCCGAGCAACAUGGCAAAACCUGAUUUCUACAAAAUACAAAAAAAAAAUUAGGCAGUUGUAGUGGUUCACACCUAUAGUCCUAGCUACUGUGGAGGCUGAGGUAGGAUCACUUGAACCUAGGAGGUGGAGGUUGCAGUGAGCCAAGAUCAUGCCACUGCACUCCAGCCUGGGUGACAAAGUGUGACCCUGUCUCAAAAAAGAAAAUCAGUAUAUGGAAGAGGUAUCUGCACUCCUAUGUUUUUUACAACACUGUUUACAAUAGCUAAGAUUUGGAAGCAACCUAAAUGUCUAACAGCAGAUGAAUGGAUAAGGAAAAUUUGGUAUGUAUACACAAUGAAGUACUAUUCAGCCAUAAAAAGGAAUGAGAUCCAGUCAUUUGCAACAGCAUGGAUGGAAGUGGAGAUCAUUAUGUUAAAUGAAAUAAGCCAGGCACAGAAAGGCAAACAUGGCAUGUUCUCACUUAUUUGUGGGACCUAAAUUCAAAACAAUUGAACUAAUGGACAUAAAGAGUAGAAGAAUGGUUACCAGAGGCUAGGAAUGGUAGUGGGGGGCUGAAGGGAAGGUGGGGAUGUUUAAUCGGUAAAAAAAAAUUUAGAAGAAUAAGACCUACUAUUUGAUAGCACAAUAGGGGGACUAUAGUCAAUAAUGCACAUUUAAAAAUAGUGUAAUUGAAUGGUUUGUAACUCAAAGGAUAAAUGCUUGAGGGAAUGGAUACCCCAUUCUCCAUGAUGUGCUUAUUUCACAUUGCAUACCUGUAUCAAAACAUCUCAUGUACCCCAUAAAUAUAUGCAGCUAUUAUGUACCCAC